Molecule: ribosomal RNA, 445 nt
Filed under: uncultured bacterium
Lineage: Bacteria
Description: partial 16S ribosomal RNA
Rfam family: Bacterial small subunit ribosomal RNA
Source: RNAcentral
GUAGGGAAUAUUGGACAAUGGGCGAAAGCCUGAUCCAGCCAUGCCGCGUGAUAGAUGAAGGCCCUCUGGGUUGUAAAUAUCUUUUAUCUGGGAAGAAACUCCUCUAUUCUUAGAGGCCUGACGGUACCAGAGGAAUAAGCACCGGCUAACUCCGUGCCAGCAGCCGCGGUAAUACGGAGGGUGCAAGCGUUAUCCGGAUUCACUGGGUUUAAAGGGUGCGUAGGCGGGUUGAUAAGUCAGUGGUGAAAGCUCCGGGCUUAACUUGGAAACUGCCAUUGAUACUGUCAAUCUUGAAUGUCGUAGAGGUAAGCGGAAUGUUGCAUGUAGCGGUGAAAUGCUUAGAUAUGUUACAGAACACCAAUUGCGAAGGCAGCUGACUAAUACACAACUGACGCUGAGGGACGAAAGUGUGGGGAUCAAACAGGAUUAGAAACCCGGGUAGUCC